This 460-nucleotide ribosomal RNA is filed under the name uncultured bacterium. Its description in RNAcentral is "partial 16S ribosomal RNA". It matches the Rfam family "Bacterial small subunit ribosomal RNA", at positions 338 to 795 of the family's 1533-position model. The record is from RNAcentral.
CCUACGGGGGGCAGCAGUGAGGAAUAUUGGUCAAUGGGCGGAAGCCUGAACCAGCCAAGUCGCGUGAGGGAUUAAGGCCCUGCGGGUCGUAAACCUCUUUUGCCGGGGAGCAGAGGUCCGGACGUGUCCGGGCCGGGGGAGUCCCCGGGGAAAAAGCAUGGGCUAACUCCGUGCCAGCAGCCGCGGUAAUACGGAGGAUGCGAGCGUUAUCCGGAUUUAUUGGGUUUAAAGGGUGCGUAGGCGGGCAUUUAAGCCGGCGGUCAAAUGUCGGGGCUCAACCCCGGCCUGCCGUCGGAACUGGGUGCCUUGAGUGGGCGAGAAGUAGGCGGAAUGCGUGGUGUAGCGGUGAAAUGCAUAGAUAUCACGCAGAACCCCGAUUGCGAAGGCAGCAUACCGGCGCCCGACUGACGCUGAGGCACGAAAGUGCGGGUAUCGAACAGGAUUAGAUACCCCUGUAGUC